CGUAACCGGGCUGAAGUCGUACCGUAAGGAGCGGUGGACUGGUUACGAGUGAGAAUGUUGGCAUCAGUAGCGAGAUGUGGGUGAGAAUCCCACAGGCCGAAAACCUAAGGUUUCCUCAGGAAGGUUCGUCCGCUGAGGGUUAGUCGGGACCUAAGCCGAGGCCGAAAGGCGUAGGUGAUGGACAACUGGUUGAUAUUCCAGUACCACUACCAUCGUUAUUAUCGAUGGCGUGACGCAGGAGGAUAGUGUGUGCUAGCUAUUGGAUGCUAGUCUAAGCGUUUAGGCAGUGAGAGUAGGCAAAUCCGCUCUCAUAAUGCUGAGGCGUGAUGGGGAAGGUUCUACGGAACCGAAGUACAUGAUUCCACGCUGCCAAGAAAAGCGUCUAGAGAGAGAAGUAGUGCCCGUACCGCAAACCGACACAGGUAGGUGAGGAGAGAAUCCUAAGGCCGGCGGAAGAAUUACAGUUAAGGAACUCGGCAAAUUGACCCCGUAAGUUCGCGAGAAGGGGUGCCUACGAGAGUAGGCCGCAGAGAAUAGGCCCAAGCAACUGUUUAGCAAAAACACAGGUCUCUGCUAAAGCGUAAGCUGAUGUAUAGGGGCUGACGCCUGCCCGGUGCUGGAAGGUUAAGGGGAACACUUAGCGCAAGCGAAGGUGUGAACUUAAGCCCCAGUAAACGGCGGCCGUAACUAUAACGGUCCUAAGGUAGCGAAAUUCCUUGUCAGGUAAGUUCUGACCCGCACGAAUGGCGUAAUGACUUGGGCACUGUCUCAACUGUAAAUCCGGCGAAGUUGUAGUGCGAGUGAAGAUGCUCGCUACCCGCGAUUGGACGGAAAGACCCCGUAGAGCUUUACUGUAGCUUAGCAUUGAGUUUUGGUAUUGUCUGUACAGGAUAGGUGGGAGACUAGGAAACCAGGGCGUCAGCCUUGGUGGAGUCAACCUUGGGAUACCACCCUGACAGUACUGAAAUUCUAACUGGCGGCCAUGAAUCUGGUCACAGGACAUUGUUAGGUGGGCAGUUUGACUGGGGCGGUCGCCUCCUAAAAAGUAACGGAGGCGCCCAAAGGUUCCCUCAGAACGGUCGGAAAUCGUUCGAAGAGUGCAAAGGCAGAAGGGAGCCUGACUGCGACACCCACAAGUGGAGCAGGGACGAAAGUCGGGCUUAGUGAUCCGGUGGUACCUCGUGGGAGGGCCAUCGCUCAACGGAUAAAAGCUACCUCGGGGAUAACAGGCU
This 1232-nucleotide ribosomal RNA is filed under the name Escherichia coli. Its description in RNAcentral is "partial 23S ribosomal RNA". It matches the Rfam family "Bacterial large subunit ribosomal RNA", at positions 1240 to 2483 of the family's 2925-position model. Lineage: Bacteria; Pseudomonadati; Pseudomonadota; Gammaproteobacteria; Enterobacterales; Enterobacteriaceae. The record is from RNAcentral.